GAUGAAGAACUCAGCGAAAUGCGAUACGUAAUGUGAAUUGCAAAUUCAGUGAAUCAUCGAGUCUUUGAACGCACAUUGCGCCCCCUGGUAUUCCGGGGGGCAUGCCUGUCCGAGCGUCAUUGCUGCCCUCAAGCACGGCUUGUGUGUUGGGCCCCGUCCUCCGAUCCCGGGGGACGGGCCCGAAAGGCAGCGGCGGCACCGCGUCCGGUCCUCGAGCGUAUGGGGCUUUGUCACCCGCUCUGUAGGCCCGGCCGGCGCUUGCCGAUCAACCCAAAUUUUUUAUCCAGGUUGACCUCGGAUCAGGUAGGGAUACCCGCUGAACUUAAGCAUAUCAAUAAGCGGAGGA
This 346-nucleotide unclassified non-coding RNA is filed under the name soil metagenome. RNAcentral describes it as "partial contains 5.8S ribosomal RNA, internal transcribed spacer 2, and large subunit ribosomal RNA". The stretch from base 1 to 119 matches the Rfam family "5.8S ribosomal RNA", at positions 35 to 154 of the family's 154-position model. The record is from RNAcentral.